Molecule: long non-coding RNA, 3251 nt
Filed under: Mus musculus (house mouse)
Lineage: Eukaryota; Metazoa; Chordata; Mammalia; Rodentia; Muridae
Description: long non-coding RNA chr11:85756138-85759389
Source: RNAcentral
AUAGUGACAGGAAGGACACGGCAUAGAACUAUGUCCUUGGCCUUCUUCCUCUCCCGACUCCUGCUUGCCUGUCUAGCCUAUAUCUCUUAGGAAUUAAUAUUUCCAACUCAGUUAUGGAGUCAAGGAAUUGACCAAAACUCUUGAGGAGUGAAUGGCUUAGAAGACGGAACAAGCCUGUGCUACCUGACAACGCUCUCAGUCUCGUUGCAGACACUGGCAUCUGAGCAGAGUAGUAUGGUGCCUUAGCCUCUUCCAGAGGACGGGCUGUCAAGGCUGUGGGCCCUGUGUCUGGAGCAGGGCAGCCAGGAGGAGGGAGGUGUCUCCAAGAGAAAGGGCUAAGAUCCAAGUGACCUGUGAGGACAGUGUGGCUCCUCAGUGGACAACACCUGGACCCUGGACUUCAGUUCCCAGCCUGCCUUUUUUAUUUUAAAUCACAUAUAUGUAUUCAUGGGAUAAAUUAUGGUAAUUAGAUAUAUGUAAAUGUAAUGAUCAAUUUUGAGUAAUUAGCAUUUAUAAUUUUCUCUGUUGGAAAUCUUUUGGAAAGUAAGACUUUAAACUGGUUCCUCCUACCUAACUGUAGUUUGCUCUCUAUUGCAACCCCCUUUGCAUCCUCCAUCUCCCUCUCCCUCCUAGACUCCACUGGCCUUUAUUCUACUCUUUUAUGAGAUCAGUUUUUUAUAAUACAACAUUCCUUCACCCAUUCACCCAUUGGUGGACACCCAGGUUGAUUCUGUCUUGGCUAUAGUAAAGAUGAGAGUGUAAAUUCCUCUUUUAUAUGCUAAUUUCAUUUCCUUUGGCUACAAACCCAGUGGUAGAAUCACCAAAUGGUGAUGGUGGUUGUUUGGUUGUUUUUUUCUGAACCUUCGUAUUAUUUUCACGGUGAUACUAAACUAUCCCCCCCAUAGUGUGUGGGAGUCCAUUUUCUCCCUACCGUGUGUGGGAACCCCACUUUCUCCCCACCGUGUGUGGGAACCCCCUUCUUGCCCUCACCAGCCUUCUCUAUCCUCACCAGGGUGAGGUGAUGACUCCGUAGUGGUUUGGAUUGCAUUCACUGCUCACUGGUAUGUUUUCUUUUAAGAAGUGUCAGGUUUGGGUCAUUUGUCUAUCUUUAAAAUUGUAUCCUUGGUUCUUUCCCUUGCAUGGCUUGGGGUCCUUAUGUGUGUCUACUUCUGCUUCCAUGUUUGCAUCUGUAACAUAGCAUACCUUCCUUCUAGCAUUGUUAGGAUAAUUCAGUGGGUUCCUAUCUGUAGAACACUUAAAAUAUUGCCUGGAGCCACCCAUAAAAACUUUAUUUGCAGAGCUGGAGAGAUGGCUCAGCUGUGAGGAAUAUUUGUUUUUCUUGAAGACUCACAGGUUCAGUUCCCAGCACUUACAUAUGGCUUGCCACCAUCUCGGACCCCAGUCUCAGGUCUGACCCCCCCCCCCUUCCCACCUCUGAGGACACUAGGUAUGAAGGCAGAACACUCAUACACAUAAAAAUAACUAACACUCAUACACAUAAAAAUAACUAAUUUUUUUAAUGUUUAACUCUCAAUAAUGUUAACUAUUUUAUUCCUAUUUUAUAAAUAUACAAAUUUUCCUCAUAUUUGAGAUAUUAUACAUAGAGAUUAGAUUCUGAUUAAAAUACUGACUCUGUCCUGGGGAAUUUAACAGCUAACUCUAGCAGAGGAGAGAGAUUCUAUACAAUAGCAUAUCUCAAAGACUAGAUCUUGCUGUGGUUGAUGGAUGGAUCCUUCACUGUCUAAACUUAGAAUCUCUAUUGAAGCUGUCUGGCUUGUGAAAAUAUUACAUAUUUGUUUUGAAGUCCAUAUUAGGACAUGCUGUUCACUGUUUUGAGAAACUUAUUGUAUAAUAAUUUCUGUGUUGCUUUAAGAAGUAGCAGGUAUGGGGGAAUGCUGCUCUUAAAUCUCCCUAAAAGGGGACUGGGAACCUGGCUCAGGCAUCACUUGCCUUGCUAACACAAAGACCCUAGGCUAAUCUCCAGCUCCCACAUUAGAAAGGGAAGGCAUAGUAGCACACGGUUACAAUCCCAGCACUGGGGGGUGGAGGUAAGCAGAUCCCUAGGGCUUCCUAGCCAUAGUUCAGUCAAGUAUAAGGUAAAUAGGUCAUUUCACAUCUCAUCUGCUAAUGGCUAUGGCUUGGGGUGUGCUGCUCGAAAUAAAACAGGGACAGAUCUUUGAUCUUUUGCUCCUGAAGCUUACACCCUCACUCAUCAUCAGGAUGGGCUGUGGGUCCUUCUGAAGGCCACUGUUCAUGUUCGUUCUCUCUCUCUCUCUCUCUCUCUCUCUCUCUCUCUCUCUCACACACACACACACACACACACACACACACACACACACACCAGUAACAGUGGAUACAGUGCAAUAAGAUGAGUCCCAGAUCUGCACAUUGCAGAGAUCCUCUUUGGACAGAUAAAUCCUCCCAGGAAUAGGAGAAUGGUGGUGUCCACACAGACUGGCCAGGAAGCUAGUGGGCCGCCGCUCUCCUCUCCCAACAGGCAGAUCUGUGUAGUUUACAUCUGUGCCUAAGUGGCUGGAGUGGUUGGUGCACUGCAGAGCGACACUGACCUUGCUCAUGCUUUGGGGGGUAAUUGGACUUUCAGGAUGAACUCUGAAUAAUCUGCCACUGUAAUUGACACAAACCGGCUUUUCUUUCGCAGCAGACAUUCAUGCCUUCUUGCUCCAACUGUUUUUUCUUGAACAAACAUGUGUAUUGUAGCCAAUGCAAGGAAAAUCCCACUCACCAGUUUGAUCUGAGUUGCUGCUGUCCAAGAACAAUGGCCCAGUGUGUCGGCAGCCUUCGAGAAUCCGGGUUCCGUGCCCGAGUCUGGUUGUGUGAGUCUCUUUGGAAGACCCUAAGGCCAGGAAGCCAUUGGUCUAAUGAAGACGCUCCUGCCACCCUGUGUAAUAUCAGUCCAUGAUCAGCCUUUUCCACUGCCAGCAUAGGCUCUAGCCACAGCCGCAGAGUCAACACUGACAUGGGCAGAUAACACUACCGUCAAGGGGCUCUCUGAAGCUUGACGUAACAGUAUGGGCCUGUAAUCCCAGGUACUCAGGAGACUGAGGCAGGAAGUUUGCAAGUUGGAAUUUGUAGCCUGGGCUACCAAGCAAGCUCAAGGCCAACUGAGCAACUUUGUAAGAUCUUGUCUCAAAAUAAAAUAAUAAAUAAUUGGGGCCAGGGGAUGUACUCAGUGGUAGAAAGCUGGUUUAACAUAGAAGUCCUUGGGCUCUGUUCUUAACACACACACACAC